AUUGAACGCUGGCGGCAGGCUUAACACAUGCAAGUCGAGCGGGGUGAUGGUGCUUGCACUAUCACUUAGCGGCGGACGGGUGAGUAAUGCUUAGGAAUCUGCCUAUUAGUGGGGGACAACAUCUCGAAAGGGAUGCUAAUACCGCAUACGUCCUACGGGAGAAAGCAGGGGAUCACUUGUGACCUUGCGCUAAUAGAUGAGCCUAAGUCGGAUUAGCUAGUUGGUGGGGUAAAGGCCUACCAAGGCGACGAUCUGUGGCGGGUCUGAGAGGAUGAUCCGCCACGCUGGGACUGAGACACGGCCCAGACUCCUACGGGAGGCAGCAGUGGGGAAUAUUGGACAAUGGGGGGAACCCUGAUCCAGCCAUGCCGCGUGUGUGAAGAAGGCCUUAUGGUUGUAAAGCACUUUAAGCGAGGAGGAGGCUCUUUUGGUUAAUACCCAAGAUGAGUGGACGUUACUCGCAGAAUAAGUACCGGCUAACUCUGUGCCAGCAGCCGCAGUAA
This 503-nucleotide ribosomal RNA is filed under the name uncultured bacterium. Its description in RNAcentral is "partial 16S ribosomal RNA". It matches the Rfam family "Bacterial small subunit ribosomal RNA", at positions 30 to 523 of the family's 1533-position model. The record is from RNAcentral.